Non-coding RNA from Callithrix jacchus (white-tufted-ear marmoset), 2563 nucleotides. Lineage: Eukaryota; Metazoa; Chordata; Mammalia; Primates; Cebidae. The record is from RefSeq and is a predicted model, not a curated record.
UGAGGUUGCAGUGAGCUGAGAUUAUACCACUGCACUCCAGCCUGGGUGACAAAGUGAGAGACUCCGUCUCAAAAAAAAAAAAAAAUCUUGCCUUGUUCCCAUAUUUAUUGUCUCCUGAAGGAGACUGUGAGCUUCCUGAGAGUAGGUCCUUGUUAGCUCACUUUUCUCAGCUUGGCGAAGGCACCUGGCACAUAGUAGGUGAUUAAUAAUAUUGUCUGGCUGGGUGAAUGAAGGUGUCUGAGCACCCACAGUCAUUUUCCUCAUUAUUCCUCCCUGUUCUCACAAGCUAGGAUUGUGAUGCCCUUUUGACAGAUGAUGAGAUUGAGUCUCAGGGAGGUUUGGCAGGCUGCCUGGGUCACAGAGUGGGUGAGCAGUAUGUGUCUGUGCUUCCUCUGGGUGUCCGUGUGUGUGUCUGUGAGUCUCUGGGCAUGCAGGCAUUCCUAUGGAUUUGUGUGUCUCUGUGUGUUUGCAGGUACCCUUCCUCCCUAUGCAUACGUGGCUGUGGUGUGCAUAUCUCUAUUUCUCUGUGUUAGUCUGUGCAUAUCAUUGUGAGGCCCUUCAUGUCAGCUGUCCUAAUGCCUCUGUGUGUCCCUGGGCAUGUGUGUCCACAGUCCAGCUCUGUCAGCUCUCCCAGCCCCCACUUGGUGGUCUGCCUCAUUUCCUGCUGCCCCAGGCUCCUUCAGGGCUCUCACAGCCUGUCAUCUUUCAGCUGCAGGGUCCUUGAGUUUUUUAGGCACCUGGGGAGCUGGAGCAGAGGAGAGAGGCAGGCAGGCACUGUGCACCCCUGGGGCCCACAGACCUCAACCCGUGAAAACCCGCACUAGCCCCGGGAUUGGCUCCUGACUUAAAAUUGCCAAUCCCUGAUCGAGCUGCCAGGAGCCUGCACUGGGCUGGUUCCCAUGGCAACAGGGAAGCUGCCAGGCCUCCCGCUCAUAAAACAGGUCAUAAAGUAGGGGGAUGGGAGGAGGAGUGGGGGCUGCCCGGCUGAGGGAGGGGCUGGCUGCCCAGGGGUUGCUGGGGCCACUUCCCUUGGAGACCUGGCCAUGCACCUGCCGGGUUCUGCUCUGCCCCUCACACGGGGCAGCCUCUUUGUGAAUGGGAGUAGUCAUGGCCCUCUAGUUCUGCCUCUAGAGUCGGUGAGGCUAGGGGAAGAGUCAGCGUGAGUCCCAGCCACCUCCUCAGCCCCAGGGCCUCCCCGCUGCAACCACGAAGAGGAGAGGGCCUGGCAAGCUUGGGCUUGGUCCUCCAGAAGGACCUGGGGAUCCAUCUGCAGGGAUCACAAGACAACCUCCCAUUGCUCAGAGGAAGAAAUUGAGGCCCAGAGAGGGCUAGUGACUUGCACAGAGUCACACAGCAAGAAGGCAGCUGCAAGGAUUCAAACCCAAUUCUUUGGAGCCAGUUAUGCUCCCAAUAAGCCCUAUGGCUGGCCAAGUACCCCGGGCCACUGGCAAAAUUGAAGGAAGCAAAACAAUAGUGGCAGCAGUGGUGAUUCCCAUGUAUCGUGGCCUUAGCACUUAUCGUGGUACUGGGCACCGCGCACCCUUCAUGCACACCUUGUGUAGUCCUUGCUGCAGUCCUACAGGGUUAAGGCACACGACACACAUUAUCACAUCAUCCCCAUUUUAGAGAUAAGAAAAUUGAGGCUAUGUGAUUUUCUCCAGGUAAAUUCAAGAGACUUGAAUCCCAUCCAAGAGACCUGAACCCAGACUGCUGAUCCCAGAGCAGCAUACAAGGCCUUCAGCCCUGGGGUCUUUCUGUGGUAUAACUCUUGGGAGUGCCCAUGGGGGCUGCCUUGUGCUGAUCACAGCAAGGCCCGGGGAAAGCAUAAUUUUCUGUCUGUCCAUCCAUCUGGCUACCUACCUGACUACCUAUCUAUUUGUACACUCAACCAAUAUUUACCCAGGGCUUUCUCCAUGCCAGGCAUAUUCAGGCAUUGGGAGGCACAUGGCAGUGAACAAAGCAGGUGGUGCCUGGCUUUGUGGCCCUCAAACCCUCGUGGGGAGAGGCAGAGUAUAAACAGAGAAACAACAAAGACGUGUGUCAGGUGGUGGUGAGGGCUAUGGAGAAAAACAGAGCCGGAGGAGGGGCAGUGCACGGCGGCGGGGUCGGAGAAGGCUUCUCUGAGGAGGUGACAUUUGAACGGUGAUCUGAAGGAGGUGAGGGCUUGGUUCGUGUGCGGAUCGCUAGAGAAGGGUUUCUGGCAGAGGAAACAGCAGGAGCAAAGGCCCCGAGGUGGGAGCGUGCCUGGCAUGUUGGAGGAACAGAGAACAGCUUCCAGGUGAUGCUGAUGCUGCCCAUCCCGGGACCUCACCUUGAGACCCACAGACUGUUGCAGCUGUGGAAGUGGAGGCUUACAGCUGGGAGGUGACUGGUUAUAGAGCGAGAAAUUGAGCCAAAGCCUCUCUGGUCCUCGGAGAACUUCUGGACCCUGAUGGAGAGAGAAGGGAGCCCUCAGAAGUCUGUCCGCAGAGGAUAGGAGGUGGGCGUGACUGGAGCUCCUAGGGAUCCUCUGGUUUCUGCCUCCGUUUCCACGGAAGCCAAUAAAAAGGGGAGUUUCCCAGCC